CAAGGCGACGAUCCCUAGCUGGUCUGAGAGGAUGACCAGCCACACUGGAACUGAGACACGGUCCAGACUCCUACGGGAGGCAGCAGUGGGGAAUAUUGCACAAUGGGCGCAAGCCUGAUGCAGCCAUGCCGCGUGUAUGAAGAAGGCCUUCGGGUUGUAAAGUACUUUCAGCGGGGAGGAAGGUGUUGUGGUUAAUAACCGCAGCAAUUGACGUUACCCGCAGAAGAAGCACCGGCUAACUCCGUGCCAGCAGCCGCGGUAAUACGGAGGGUGCAAGCGUUAAUCGGAAUUACUGGGCGUAAAGCGCACGCAGGCGGUCUGUCAAGUCGGAUGUGAAAUCCCCGGGCUCAACCUGGGAACUGCAUUCGAAACUGGCAGGCUUGAGUCUUGUAGAGGGGGGUAGAAUUCCAGGUGUAGCGGUGAAAUGCGUAGAGAUCUGGAGGAAUACCGGUGGCGAAGGCGGCCCCCUGGACAAAGACUGACGCUCAGGUGC
RNAcentral lists this ribosomal RNA (493 nucleotides) under Salmonella enterica. RNAcentral's name for it is "bacterial SSU rRNA". It matches the Rfam family "Bacterial small subunit ribosomal RNA", at positions 269 to 754 of the family's 1533-position model. Lineage: Bacteria; Pseudomonadati; Pseudomonadota; Gammaproteobacteria; Enterobacterales; Enterobacteriaceae. The record is from RNAcentral.